ACCUCCCUCUUUCUUCAGGCUUAACACAUGCAAGUCGAACGCACCUUUCGGGGUGAGUGGCAGACGGGUGAGUAACGCGUGGGAAUCUACCCUUCUCUACGGGAUAGCUCCGGGAAACUGGAAUUAAUACCGUAUACGUCCUGAGGGAGAAAGAUUUAUCGGGGAAGGAUGAGCCCGCGUUGGAUUAGCUAGUUGGUGGGGUAAAGGCCUACCAAGGCGACGAUCCAUAGCUGGUCUAAGAGGAUGAUCAGCCACAUUGGGACUGAGACACGGCCCAAACUCCUACGGGAGGCAGCAGUGGGGAAUAUUGGACAAUGGGCGCAAGCCUGAUCCAGCCAUGCCGCGUGAGUGAUGAAGGCCCUAGGGUUGUAAAGCUCUUUCAGUGGGGACGAUAAUGACGGUACCCACAGAAGAAGCCCCGGCUAACUUCGUG
This 433-nucleotide ribosomal RNA is filed under the name uncultured bacterium. RNAcentral describes it as "partial 16S ribosomal RNA". It matches the Rfam family "Bacterial small subunit ribosomal RNA", at positions 36 to 507 of the family's 1533-position model. The record is from RNAcentral.